AUACACACACACAUACACACUA
RNAcentral lists this microRNA (22 nucleotides) under Mus musculus (house mouse). Its description in RNAcentral is "mmu-miR-466i-3p". Its record names the gene mmu-miR-466i-3p. The record is from miRBase by way of RNAcentral. Lineage: Eukaryota; Metazoa; Chordata; Mammalia; Rodentia; Muridae.